Molecule: ribosomal RNA, 490 nt
Filed under: uncultured bacterium
Lineage: Bacteria
Description: partial 16S ribosomal RNA
Rfam family: Bacterial small subunit ribosomal RNA
Source: RNAcentral
GAUGAACGCUAGCGAUAGGCUUAACACAUGCAAGUCGAGGGGCAGCAUGGUCUUAGCUUGCUAAGACUGAUGGCGACCGGCGCACGGGUGCGUAACGCGUAUGCAACUUGCCUCACAGAGGGGGAUAACCCGUCGAAAGACGGACUAAUACCGCGUACACUCUAUUUUGGGCAUCCAAGGUAGAGGAAAUGAAAUUCGCUGUGAGAUAGGCAUACGUCCCAUUAGCUAGUUGGUGAGGUAACGGCUCACCAAGGCGACGAUGGGUAGGGGAACUGAGAGGUUGAACCCCCACACUGGUACUGAGACACGGACCAGACUCCUACGGGAGGCAGCAGUGAGGAAUAUUGGUCAAUGGGCGAGGGCCUGAACCAGCCAAGUCGCGUGAAGGAUGACUGUCUUAUGGAUUGUAAACUUCUUUUGUAGGGGAAUAAAGAGGGGCACGUGUGCCCCAGUGAAUGUACCCGACGAAUAAGCAUCGGCUAACUCCGUG